This 8638-nucleotide long non-coding RNA is filed under the name Marmota monax (woodchuck). Lineage: Eukaryota; Metazoa; Chordata; Mammalia; Rodentia; Sciuridae. The record is from RNAcentral.
AAACAAGGAGGGAAUUUAAGCCUGCAAAGUGGAAAAAUGAGGCUUUGUCAUCUUCAGGAAACAGUAGUCCAUGGUGUAUCCUGAUAUCCAGAGCUUCUGUCCUCCCUUUGUAAAUAUUUGCCAAUUGGGUGGAGGGUGGAGGCCACCAUGGAGAAGAAAGGAGGGAGAGGGCAGGUGUCAGGGAGUGCAUAUUUAUGGUCAGACACCUGAUUACUUGGUAUAGAUUCUAGUCAACUCUCAUGCACCCAGGGCCUGCCAUGUGUAAAGCUCUGCACCACUGGAGAGCAUUGUUACUGUUUUCCUCAGCCUAGAGGUGAGGAAACUGAGGCUUAUAGUAGCUCAACAAUUUGCUCAAGGUCUCACAGCUAGUAAGUGGAGAAUCAGAAUUCAAGUCCAGAUACUUGGACUUGCAAGAGCCUACUCCCAUAACUGGGCUAGUUGUAGCACCUGGUGAUGAAGCUUCAAAUGCAUGAAGUGGUUUGUAGUUUCCUCAGCAGCUCCCAGGUUUGUUUUUAAGUCUUUACAGCAAAGCAGUGAGGUCUUAGCAGGGGGUGUGAUAUACCCAGAUAUGCAUACUAAAUGAAAUGAUGGAUCUGGAAACACUUAGUAAAUGGGAAAAUGCUCUACAAAUAGGACAUAAUUAUUGUCUCUAAUUUACAAGUGAGGAACAUCAAAUCAGAGAGGUUAAGUGGUAUGCCCAAGGACACAUGAGCAGCUAAUGGCAGAGUCAGGACGCCAACCCAGGUCUUAGGAAUUCAAGACCAGUGCUUUUUGUUUCCUUGACAAUAUCAAAGAAAGAUUGGUUUGGGUUUACCUGCUCCCCCCACAAAUGGUUGCCAAGUGAAAAUUAGGCAGAGACUCUAAAAAAGAGACUCUGCUAACUUCUUAUCCACCUUUUAUUGCUUUGGCUUUUCUCUCCCUUUUCAGACCUCCAUGACACAGAAAGUAAAGUUGUGGAUGGAGUUGGCAGGGGCUUCAACAUGGGACUGGGCAUGGCAGACCCUGCGAGAGGGGUCAUUGGUGUGACACCAUCUCCUAAUUGGAAGGAGAGAGAGUUCUGGGGAAGGUUGCAGGGGAGAAGGAUGGACAGAAAUGCACUGUGGAUGGGCCAGGGUGGAUUUUAUGGCCCCAUAAAACAGACCACAAAUUAUUUGAAAGCAUUGAGGUAAACUGGAAUCCAGGGUAUAUCCCUGGGGGGUUGUGUGUUCACAUGCAGUAUUUUUUAAUAAAUAAAUCAUAAAUAUUUUGUUUAAAGAUCUUAGGGUCAAUACUAGAAAGAUGAAAAGAAAAUAACCACUGAGCACCAGCUCUGUAGUGCAGAUUCAUAUAAAAUAUGAAUUGCCAAAAUUUUAUCUUAGAACUAUACAGAGGAAGUCAUUCUUUGUUGAUAACCAUAUCUUAUCUAUUUGUUUAUUUAUUCAUUUUCAAAGGGAUAAGAAAUCAACCUUUAUUUUACACAUUCAAGAUGCAGAAUCAAUGCUGGGAGCAUUUAUGUAUAUUUGCUCAUUUAUUCCUCACAAAACUUUGCAUAAGUAGCACUAUUAUGUGAAUUUUUAAGAUGAGGAAAUUGAGUCUCUGAGAGAUGAAGUAACUUGAUUUGAGUUUCCUAGACAGUAAGAGAUGGCAGCAAGAUAUACAUCAUUACGAGCUACAUUAUUUCUUCAACAACACACUGAGAAAAUCCAUUUUUGCUUUCUUUGUUCUUCAUCCUUUCUUUGAUCUCAGAUCUUCUAUCUGGGUUCUCUCCCUUCCUGUCUGUAAUACAUCUUUUAUAUGAGGAUUUGCAUGUGGGAAACUCCAUUUUUGUUGUCAUUGCUGUUGGCGACUAAUGUCUUUGUCUCUUUUAUUCUUGAAGUGUAUGAUUCUCAGAUGACAGUUACUUUCUUUCGGCGUGUUGGAGGUAUUUUACUGCCGUCUUUUGGAAUGUUCAUUGCUAAUGAGAAGUAAGCUGCCUAAAUGGUAAUCACAUAAAAGCAAUAUCUUUUCUCUCUGCUGCUUUAAAAUAUUGUCUUUGGUGUUCUGCGGCUUCACUGAACUGUGUCUGGAUGUGAAUUUCUUUUUAUUUAUUCUUUUGGGGAUUCUUGGAUGUGGGUACUGGUAUUUUUCAUCACUUUUAGAAAAUUUAUAACUGUAAUCUGUUUAAAUGGUCUCUCUUUCCUCCUUCUGGGACUCCAGACAGACAUAUUGUUAGGCUUUAUUUUUUUCAGUAAAUAUAUUUCUAAUUGACAUAUAGUAAUUGCACAUAUCUAUUGGGUACAGUAUGACAUUUCAAUACAUAUAAACAAUAUGUGAUGAUCAGAUCAGGGUAAUUGGCAUAUCGUUCACCUCAGACAUGCAUCAUUUCUUUUGGGGGAAACAUUCAAAUUCCUCUUAGCUAGCUAUUGAAAUAUUCACUUAGUUACUAAAACCUCCCAGUAGGCCCCGCCUCUUAGAGGUGCCACCACCUCCCAAAAGCACCACCCUGACAACCAAGCAUUUAACACAGAGGCCUUUUGGGGGACAUUUGGGGAUUGAAACUAUAGCACUAGCCAUUUGCAUGGACAGACUGUUUUUCGUAUCUCUUAAUCUCUUUCAUAUUUUUCUGUGUCUUUGUCUUUCUGUGAUGCAUUUCUAUUAACUUAUUUUGACCUAGCUUUUAAUUCACUGUUUCUUCCUCAUACUGUCUGAUAUGCUAGUAAGUCUAUUCAGAGUUUGUUUUUUCAAUCUUCUUUUUUAAAUUUCUAAAAAUUUCCUGUCCAUUUUUCAAAUCUUCCUGGCUAUUCCUCAUGAUUUUUUGUUUCCUGCACAUAUCUUCAAGUUUUUCUUUAAUUUCUCUAAACACAUUAGGGUCAUUUGGUUUGUUGGCACCUGGUUAUUCUUGAUGCGGAGUUAUCCCUAGCUCAACAAUGCUUUCAGAAACAUUGAUUUUUAAAAAUAUUUUAUACAAGACUCUGAGUGGGAUGGCCCAUCCAGAUACUUAUCUUUCUGUAACACUGGCAAUAGAAGUACAGCAUAUGUAUUUAAAACUGGAAAAAUUAUGAGAGGGAAAUGUAGCCAAAUGGAACCUGGCAUUUAGGAACCUAGAAUUGCUCAAACUGUGCUGAAUGCCCUGAAGAGUGCAUGGGUUUCUGAUGAGAAGCCACUCCUGGUGAGGCUUGCCCAGCCAGGGUGGAUUCUGCUCAGCACCCACCCCACCAGUACACGAUGCCAGAAGUGGCAUGGCCAAACAAGAGGAAGAGGAGGCCUGUUUAGAAGGAAGAGAAUUGUAUCUCUAAGGGAUGAGAGGUACCUUGGGAUAAGACUCAGUGGAUCUGUCCUUUGAUUGCUGAUUUAAACCCUGUCAAAGUCAGUAGCAUUUGACCUUGUUCUCUUGGAGUUCAGGGGACAUGAGUUCUUUCAUCCCAGUGGCCCUGGAGAAUAUUCAAGAAUGAAUAUGGAGGGAACCACAGAGUCCAAUCUGGCCUCAACCCUCUCCUUCUCCCCAUUUACCACAUCCAAUCAGCCACCAGUUCUUGAUUUUAACCUCUAGCUCUAGAAUCUAUUCGCCUGCACCCACCUAUAUGCUGUCUCUGCCCCAGUCCACAAUCCCACCAUCUUGGACUAGAAUAAUUCUCUCACUAGCACCAAUAUAUCCACUCCCAAUCUCUCCCCUCCCAAAUUCUCCACACAAAUAAUCAAGUCAUCUUUUAAUAAUACAAAUCAGAGAAAGUGUCUCCCAAUCUUUUAAGUUUUAACUUCAGUGGCUUCCAGUGGCUUUUUGGGAUUGAAGUUCCAAAUCCCUACCCACAGGGUCCUCUUCUGUUGCCUGGUCUCCUUCCACUCUCUUCCACGUUAGACUUGUUCUGUCUACCCUGGUUUCCUUCCAUUGGAAAAAAGCCCUUUCUACCUGAGGCUGUUUACACCUGCAGUUCCUUCUUCCCAACUGCUUCCCUUGCCUUACUUCUACUCACCUGUGGACCCAAUUUCAAUGUGCUCUCCCCUCUAUCGUCUUCCAUUAGUCUUGUUGCUCUGUGUUUCCUAGAGCAAGACCUUAUAUCUCUUCAUCAGAGAGAUUACCUCUGUUUUGAUCCCAUAAUUAUUUUUUGAAAUUUCUGUUCAUUUUCUGUCUUCCAUACUGGUAAGAAUGAGAUUCAUGUGCAUGCUGUUCAUCACUAUGUCCCCAGCACCAAGCCUGGCACGUGGGAGAUUGGUCAUCUAGAGAAUAAAUCUGGGAGUACGUAUGGCUUUGGCUUGCAUCCUUGCUCCUACUGAGUUCACCCAUGACCUCUUUGCCAAGUCCAGUGUUUCUUCUAAAUCUUAACAGCUGCAACACUUGAAACUGCUGUCAGUCCUUUGUUUCUUGAACCAUUCUCCACUGUUCCUCAUCUACCGACUUUUAAGAUGUUAUUUCCUUUCUCUUCUUCUCUCUGAGGACUGAUUCUCCUCAGAUGACUUUCUCUGAGUGUUACCUAAAUGUCAGUGUCUUACACAAUUCUAGCCUUUUCUUCCCCCAUCCCUGUACCCAUUCUGUAAGUAGCUGUAAUUACGUCUGUGGCAUCAACCAUCAUAUUUAAACUAGUGAAUGCCAGACCUAUGUGUCUAUCUUGGAUCCCUCACCUCCCCAGCAUCGCCUUCUCUCACACUGCCUCCUAAAUACCUUCAUCCGGAUGUUUCAUGGACAUCUCAAUCUUAACAUUUCCCAAGUGGAGCUAGUUUUCUUCCUUGCCAAACUGGUUCUUCCUGCAGUGUUUCCAAUCUGGCCAAGUAAUUUCACCAUCUACCUAACCUUUGAAGCCAGAAGCCAUAGAGCCCUCCUAGGCAUUUCUGCAAUCUCAGUGAUCCUUUUCACAAUCUGUCCUGAACUGGUCCCCAUUCCUCCUCUCUGCACUGCCUCCACCUUAAUGCAGCCCCUGCUAUUGUUUGUCUGGAUCGUCACAUCAGCCUCUUCCUGGAUUCCUUCUGUGCUCUUCCCCUUCCAGUCCAUUACUGGCACUAACGGCAGAGACCCUGUCCCAACAAACAAAGCUCAAUCAGGCCACUGUCCAGCUUCAUCCCCACCUUUGUCCUUAAAGCCCACACAAUAAAACCCAUUCUCCUUAGGAGGAGAAGCAAGAGCCUCCCAACUGACCCUAGCUUCCCUCUGACUUUUGCCUCCUUUGUACCAUUCAUACCUUCUGAGUAGGUCAGACCUUCUCAUCACAUGUUUAUGGCUUUCUCAAACAUUAGCAGGCCACAGAAUUAUGAGGAAGGCUUGUUAAAGCAUAACAUAUGGGAUCUUAUCUCCAGAGGACCCGACUCAGUGGAUCUAAGAUGAGGCCCAGGAUUUGAAUUGGUAACAAGUUCCCAGGGGCUGCUGCUACCACUUUUCUGGUGACCACUGUGAGAACUACUGGUGUAAACCAGUAACCAUUAUAAGCCCUGAGACGUAUCACCUUGGCUGAAAUCCUGCUUCUGCUACCACUUCCUGUAUCACUCAACCUCUUCAUACCUCAGUUUGCUUAUCCAUAAAAUGGGGCUAAUACUCAGAGCUGCCUCAUAGGUUUUGAAGGAGGAUUAAUUAUGUUAAUACUUGGAAAUCACUUAAAAUGUUGCUUGGUGCUUUGUAACCAGGAACUGUUAGCUGCCACUGUUGUUUAUUUACUUUUAUCAUUAUUUCUAUCCUUGGUUUAGAAGGUCUGUCUUCCUCACUCUCUUUUGCUUGCAAAUUUCUGCAAGAACACAUCUGUGUUCAGCGGGUCAUUGUGCUAGCAUUGUCCCAGCCUGGUCUCCCUGGUCCUUUGUACUCAAUGCAGAACAGUGUACGUCUGCAUAACAUUUGCCAUCUUGAACUUGUCUAUUUACCAAGGGGGUGUCUCACCCACUGCAUAUUCCUCAAGUCUUCAUUUUUAUUGAGCUAUAAUUGACAAGUGAAAUGGUAUCAAUUUAAAGUGUGCAACAUGAUGAUUCAAUACAUGCAUAUUUUAUGAAAGAAUUCCUACAAUCAAGUUAGUGAUCACAUCCACCACCUCAUCUAGUUACCAUGUUUCAUGUAUGGCAAGAACCUUGAAGAUACUCUCCUGAGCAGAUUUUAAGUAUACGUGCAGUAUGGUUAACCAUAGUUGUCGUGCUGUGUGUGAGGUCCCCAGAACUUAUUCAUCUUGUAACUGCAGUGCUCCGCCUUUUUUUUUUGGUGGGGUGCAGGGUGUGGUACUGGGGAUUGAACUCAGGGGCACUCAGUCACUGAGCCACAUCCCCAGCCCUAUUUUAUAUUUUAUUUAGAGACAGGAUCUCACCGAGUUGCUUAGCACCUCACUUUUGCUGAGGGUGGAUUUGAACUUGUGAUCCUCCUGCCUCAGCCUCCCGAGCCACUGGAAUUAUAGGUGUGCGCCACUGUGCCUGGCUGAUACUCCACCAUUUGACAACCUUCCCUCAGCUACCUGCCCCUCCCCCCAACCCCUGGCAAUCACCACUCUAUUCUUUGUUUCUAAGACUUCAGCUUUUUAUAUUUCACAUGUAAGAUGAGACCACACAGUGUUUGUCUUUCUCUGACUUAUUUUACUUGGCAUAAUGCCCUCAAGUUUCAGUCAUGUUGUUGCAAAUGGCAGUAUUUCCUUCUUUUUGUGGCUGAAUGAUAUUUCAUUAUAUAUCCAUUAUACACACAUAUUCCUUACUGCAGUAUAUACAGUAUAAUAUUAUGUGUGUGGGGGGGUGGGUAUUUCACAAUUUCUUUUUUUGUCCAUGUUUUCUAUUGGUGCUUUAUAGUUGUACACAAUGGUGGAUUUCAUGUCACAUAUUCCUACAUGCACACAAUAUAACAAUAUAAUUUGGCCAGUGUCACUCUUCUGCACUUCCCCCCUUCUCCCCUCCUUCUACCUCCUGGUCACUUCCUCUAGUCUACUGAUCUCCCUUUGAUCCUCAUGAGAUCCCCCCAAUCCCCAUCAUGUUUCUUUUCCUUCGUCCUCUUCCCCAUAUAAGAGAGAACCUAUGACCCUUGUUCUUCUGAGUUGACUUACUUCUCUUAAUAAAAUGUCUCUAGUUCUAUUUAUUUUACGGCAAAUGACAUAAUUUCAUUUUUGUGACUGAAUAAAACUCUGUGUGUGUGUGUGUGUGUGUGUGUGUGUGUGUAUAUAUAUCACAUUUUCCUUAUAGAUUCAUCUGUUGAUUGACACCUAGGCUGGUUCCAUAGUUUGGAUAUUGUGAGUUGUACUGUUAUAAACAUGGACAUGCAUGUAUCACUGUAGCAUGAUGACUUUAAUUCUUCAGGAUAAACACUGAGGAGAGGUAUAGUCGGGUCAUAUGAUGGUUCCAUGCCUAGUCUUUUGAGGAGCCUCCAUACUGAUUUCCUUUAAGGUCAUACUAAUUUACACUCCCACCUACAGUGUAGAAGUGUUCUUUUUUCUCCACAGCCUCUCCAGAAUUUAUUAUUGUUCAAAUUUCUUUUUUUGUUCAUUGUCCAAGGACAGUGGACUUCAGUCAUUACCAUGUCUUGGUUGUUUUGAGUAAUGCUGCAGUGACAUGGCAACACAAAAUGUCUUUGAGCUACUGAUGUUGUUUCCCUUGGGUAUAUGCCCAGAAGUAGUGGUAGUUCUAUUUUUAUUUUUUUUUAGGAACCUCCAGACUAUUUUCAAGGCUUCAUUUUUGAGUCCCUGGAGCCCAGCAAAGUGGUAUUGACAUAUGUUGUAGAAUAUAGUACUAUAUUGAAAAUAUGGUAAAAUGGGUCUGGAGAAGAAACUGAGCACCCAGGAAUGGUAGGGAGAAGAGACAGUGUGUGUGUGACAUGAAGUUUGUAUAUGUUGUAGUCAGAUCAGUGGGAUUGUGAUUCAGGCAUAUAGUCCAUGUCGUCAGGGACACCUGAAUACACAUCACUUAGGAAAUCUUAGCUGUAAGUAUCAAAAACCUCACUCAAUAGGUUUAAAUAAUGAUACUUAUGAGAAGUCAGGGUUGUCUAAUUCAGUAGUUCAGCAAUGCUAUCAAAGACCGGUUCUUUCUUUCUGCUCUGUCCUCAGGCUUCCCCUCGUAGUCAAAAUGUGGCUGCAGAAGUUCCAGACAGUAUAACAACCAGCAGAGACAGAGCCAGGAAAGCAUUUGCAGGAGCUCCCCCAGCAAGUCUCCUCUCAUAUCUCAUAAUGGGACAUCCCAACUUGUUCACUGGCAAGGGGCCUGCUUUUGUUUUGAAUGGAUGAGUCUUCUGAUCUGGGGAUAAGCUUACUACCCUGAGUGGUGAACAACAUUGGAGUCCUGCUAGAUGGGAGGAAGGGAUCAAUGGAUAUUGCUCAUCAGGCAGAGUGUCUACCUCAAAGCUGGAUGCAGACCACAGGCUGAAAGUUGAGUGCCAAAGUCUUUUCUAGCUGGAGACUCCAUAGUGAAUUUCUCAAAGUCAAAGCAAAGAACCUUUUCCUCUGUUCUACCAGCAGGUUGUGCUUUGACCACAGCUGCCCUUUGGGAGGCUGGCACAGAGCCACAGCUAGAUCUUCAGGCUGCUUGUCAAGGGUGGGGCAGCAGGACAUGCCACUCUUCCUCCAUGAGCCCAUCCAGGGCCUCCACUGGGCACUUGGCACUGCCACGUCUUCCUAAGGAGAGAGCUGGGGAAGGAACCCGAGGGAGCCAGACUCCAGAGCCCUGGGACCCAGACAGAGCUCCAGGAAGGUUCAGGCAAGUAUUCUGUCUCUUCUCCCCUCAGAUGUGUAGAUGGACAUGAGGU